This 259-nucleotide ribosomal RNA is filed under the name uncultured bacterium. Its description in RNAcentral is "partial 16S ribosomal RNA". It matches the Rfam family "Bacterial small subunit ribosomal RNA", at positions 94 to 353 of the family's 1533-position model. The record is from RNAcentral.
AGUGGCGGACGGGUGAGUAACGCGUGGGUAACCUGCCUUAUACAGGGGAUAACAGUUAGAAAUGACUGCUAAUACCGCAUAAGCGCACAGGAUUGCAUGAUCCGGUGUGAAAAACUCCGGUGGUAUAAGAUGGACCCGCGUCUGAUUAGCUUGUUGGUGAGGUAACGGCCCACCAAGGCGACGAUCAGUAGCCGACCUGAGAGGGUGACCGGCCACAUUGGGACUGAGACACGGCCCAAACUCCUACGGAGGCAGCAUG